GGAAACACAGCUGAAAGGACAGCAAAAACACCACGCAAAGGUGGCAACGCUACCAAGCGUUACGAAGGUUCGAAUCCUUCUGUUUCCA
Molecule: transfer RNA, 88 nt
Filed under: Muribaculaceae bacterium
Lineage: Bacteria; Pseudomonadati; Bacteroidota; Bacteroidia; Bacteroidales; Muribaculaceae
Description: tRNA-OTHER
Rfam family: tRNA
About the family: Transfer RNA (tRNA) molecules are approximately 80 nucleotides in length. Their secondary structure includes four short double-helical elements and three loops (D, anti-codon, and T loops).
Source: RNAcentral